GGUGUAGCUCAGUGGUAGAGCACUUGCCUAGCAUGUGUGAGGCUCUGGGUUCAGUCCCCAGUGCC
This 65-nucleotide transfer RNA is filed under the name Heterocephalus glaber (naked mole-rat). It matches the Rfam family "tRNA". Rfam says of the family: Transfer RNA (tRNA) molecules are approximately 80 nucleotides in length. Their secondary structure includes four short double-helical elements and three loops (D, anti-codon, and T loops). Lineage: Eukaryota; Metazoa; Chordata; Mammalia; Rodentia; Bathyergidae. The record is from Rfam by way of RNAcentral.